RNAcentral lists this long non-coding RNA (1225 nucleotides) under Chrysemys picta bellii (western painted turtle). RNAcentral describes it as "lncRNA (ENSCPBG00000009445.1)". Lineage: Eukaryota; Metazoa; Chordata; Testudines; Emydidae. The record is from RNAcentral.
AUGUCACAACCAACGAAAUCCAGCGUGGGAGGGGGGUCCCCCCGCCCCCCAGUUUCUAUCUGGCCGUGUGGGUCCUUGCACAACACCCCCGGCGGUCACAUCCUGGUGCCUGCGCUUCCCCCAGACGUGUUCAGCCUGCCCGAGAAUCCCCCCGCCCCAACAUGUAAAACGCGAAAACUUAGAUUGGCUGGUGCAGAGGGCAUCGCUGUCGGCAGAUUUCAGUAAGGUCUCAGAUUUGACCUACAGCCUCGGUAUUACCAAGUAUUUGAACCUGAAUCUGCAAAAUGUAAGCAUGUACUUAAUGAGCUGGCUCAUAUCCUUAGCUGGUGUCAAUUAGCAUAGCUCCAUUAACUUAAGUAGACCACUCGGAUGCAUAGGGUUAAGCAUAUGCAGGAUCAGACAACAAACAUGCAAAUAUGCAGUGAUUUGGUAGAUUUACCAGCAUUUUAUUAAUUCAUGAGGCUAAAUCUCAUUGGCAGAAUUUGUCAGUUUCUAAAGUUUGAUUUAUUUAUUUACCAUGAGCAUAUCCAUUCCUUAGAGGUGUUGUUCCAAUUAAGUACACUGAAGACGACCUAUGAUUUACUUAUUCUGAUUAUGCCAGAGUUCUUAAAUUAAGCUCAAAGCACAUAGUAUCAGUCAAAUUCAUUAUUCAGUCACCCAUGAUCUAAUGUUAAUACGAAAACAUGGUGUUCAGUAUAUUAUUUUAUUUGCCUAUGCCCUGGUUUUUUUUCGGUGAAAGUUUACUUAAUGAUUCUUUCAUAAAGAAAUUAGAUUUUUCUGAUAUUCUUUGAUUUAUAUUACUUAUGGUAAAAACAAAAGUCUAAUUUUUGACAAGUUGGGUAAUAGCAUGAUAGUUGAAUGUCCAACACUGGUAGGGUUAACAGGCAGAAGCACAAACGUCAGGGAGAGGUUUGAACCCUGGUACAAUGGGGCUACAUUCUUCCUGCUUUAACUGAAAGGCAAAUUUACAAUCGUCUACCUCAACUGUAAAAUUUCAGGCUGUAAACCAUACUCCAAGGUACUGAUCUUGCACCAAAUCAAAGGGACUUUUGGCUUUGAUUCCAAUGGUAGCAGGAGGGGGGCCCAGGAGGGACUAAAGUGUGGUUUCCAUCCCAAGCUGUCUGCAGCUUUCCAUACCUGUUAAUACCCCUUUGACUCAAUAUUCAAUACUGCAGCAGGAGAAAUGUUCUGCCACUGGUUCUCAGGACCCAUGAGUGAGAGGAGG